GACGAACGCUGGCGGCGUGCCUAAUACAUGCAAGUAGAACGCUGAAGGAGGAGCUUGCUUCUCCGGAUGAGUUGCGAACGGGUGAGUAACGCGUAGGUAACCUGCCUGGUAGCGGGGGAUAACUAUUGGAAACGAUAGCUAAUACCGCAUAACAGUAGAUGUUGCAUGACAUUUGCUUAAAAGGUGCAAUUGCAUCACUACCAGAUGGACCUGCGUUGUAUUAGCUAGUUGGUGAGGUAACGGCUCACCAAGGCGACGAUACAUAGCCGACCUGAGAGGGUGAUCGGCCACACUGGGACUGAGACACGGCCCAGACUCCUACGGGGGGCAGCAGUAGGGAAUCUUCGGCAAUGGACGGAAGUCUGACCGAGCAACGCCGCGUGAGUGAAGAAGGUUUUCGGAUCGUAAAGCUCUGUUGUAAGAGAAGAACGAGUGUGAGAGUGGAAAGUUCACACUGUGACGGUAUCUUACCAGAAAGGGACGGCUAACUACGUG
RNAcentral lists this ribosomal RNA (495 nucleotides) under uncultured bacterium. RNAcentral describes it as "partial 16S ribosomal RNA". It matches the Rfam family "Bacterial small subunit ribosomal RNA", at positions 28 to 507 of the family's 1533-position model. The record is from RNAcentral.